GGCUCCCCGACGGCUAGAGCUUCCUCUGAUGCCCGGGGGCCGACGCCUCCUUGGCUUUCCGGCGGCCGGUUACUUCUUCAUGGCGAGCGGCAGGUGCAGUGGCUUCCGCAGCAAGCGGUAACAGAAGAUGGCUCCAGGUCGGCGAUGACGAGUGGCAUGGGGUUGACGGCCGUGACAGAGUGGACGACAUGACCAUGUGCUCACCGGUGACGCAGGCAGCGGGAAGAGCCAUGGUUGCGGCGGCGCUUCGACGCUUUGACCGAGGGAGAUGCGGGAACAUAGCUGCCGUCGGAGGAGCACAAGUAUUUUCUCGACCACCUCUCUCUCGUGUGCUCUCUUUCUUAGCCGCUGGCGCCAAGAGGCAACAGCUCAAAGGCAGAAGCCCGUGAACUUUGAUCUCAAGUUCAUGGAUAUUCUUCAACUGAGCCACGGUAACAUGUUCCCUUGCUCUCUAGGGAUCUUGCGAUGGUGGACUCAUAGUGCAGCAAACGGUGUGCGUCAGUUCACGUUGGAGAGGAAGAUAUGGACCAAGUUGUGAGAGUUGCAAAAUCUGGAAAAGAUGAGGAGGCAAAUGAACAUCAUCACCAGCUAGGAGACGGUGAGCACCACAGGGCACGUACUUCAUGUUCUCUGAUGAGGAGAGUACCCUCGCUGUCAUCCAUCCACGGCUCCGCUCGCCGAUCAAUAAGGAAUGAUAGACAAUGAGUAGUGAAGAUAUGGUGUUACUGCAAUCAGGGUCACAUCAAAUCUUCCUAGCUGGCAAGCUAAAAGUACAGCGAUGAAGGAGCCUGUGUCAGCUAGCCGUAUUUCUGUGUAUAUAUGGAAUAUAGCGACAAAGUAGCUUCUGUUAGCUAGCCGUACUUCUAGGGCGAAUCCAGGGUCACACACACUUGGGGCACUAGCGUGGCAGUGAGUCCGACGACCACCGGCGCAGGAACUCUAGCUUCCAGGUGAACCAUUCCUCUCCCUGGCUUUUUUUUUUACUUCCCUUGAUCUGAUAAUUUAUCACAUAUUUUUUUCUUUUUUCAGUUCAGUCAAGUCAAGCCAUCACUGCUUUACCACAUUGCAUGGUGGGGGACUAGGUGUGUGGAAGUACUUACCGGUUGCCGCCCAUCAUGGAGGCGCUGGUCAAGGCCAAGGCAACAUGCUCCCUGCUAUUGGAGUCCAUGGUGCAGGUCUCCAAUGGUGCAUAUCCGUUCAGUGACAGACUUAUUCAACUUUCUCAAGCUAUUCCCACACUUUGAUUUCAUUCAGGUCAAUGCUCUCAUAUGAAUCUCUCAUAUCAGCCAAUUCGCAACAGUUGAGAUAUUUUAAUGACCAAUUGAUCAAGAAAGAAAUAAUUUCUAUCACAUUGCUAACUGAUGUCAAAUCUGCCACCAGAAAUGGAAUUUUGACACAGAUAGAUCAAAGGAAAUAUUCUGAAUUUUUGGCAAUCAGAAAGUUAUCAUGUUCAAAGAUACUUAAGGCUUUUGGACAAAAUGGAUACACAUCAGCAUCAACUUUCCACCCAAAUGGCAUUAUCCUUGGAAUAGACAAGCUUUAAGCUGUUGUUAAAAUUUGGGAUGUAAAAUGUCAGUAAAGGAGGUGAUCGAAGAUUUAGUUGAGUCAGAGAAUGAGAUUACGGAGGCUAGACCCACAAAGAGGAGGAGCUCGACUGGUCGGACCAAGAUGACACCACCAACGAAGAACCUCUGAGGGUACAGCCAGUGAUGCCGUCAUCCUCUCCUCCGAGGAUGAAGAUAACGCCAACGAGCGAUGGCAAAAGGCUAGAAUAAUCAGAGCACUUGCCUGAGGAUAGUGAUCUACCCUACUACUUAAAUUUAGUUUACUGAAUGUAUGACUUAAUCUAGCGUUGCAUGCUAUUAGUGUUUAGUGCCUAAUGAGGUAUGCAAUGCAAGCUUCACUUCUAAAUGUUUUUACACCGUUUUAACUUAAAAUAGGAGCAUAUUUCACUAUUCAUGUCAA
Long non-coding RNA from Lolium rigidum, 1965 nucleotides. RefSeq lists it as uncharacterized. NCBI's taxonomy places the organism in Eukaryota, Viridiplantae, Streptophyta, Magnoliopsida, Poales, Poaceae. The transcript is spliced from 9 exons. The record is from RefSeq and is a predicted model, not a curated record.